GAUGAACGCUGGCGGCGUGCUUAAUACAUGCAAGUCGAACGGUGAAGGCGGAUCUUUCUCUGCUGUAUCAGUGGCGAACGCGUGAGUAUCACGUGAGCAAUCUGUCCCUGACUCUGGGAUACGCGCUGGAAACGCCGUCUCUUACUGGAUAUGAGCUCCUAAGGCAUCUUCAGCAGCUGUAAAGAAUGUCGGUCCGGGAUGCGCGCGCGGCCUAUCAGCUUGUUGGUGAGGUAAUGGCUCACCAAGGCGUCGACGGGUAGCCGGCCUGAGAGGGUGACCGGGCACACUGGGCCUGAGGAACGGCCCAGAGUCCUACGGGGGGCAGAAGUGGGAGAUAGUGCACAAUGGGCGGAAGCCUGAUGCAGCAACGCCGGGUGGGGGAAGACGGCCUUCGGGUUGUAAACCUCGUGUGGCAGGGAAGAAGCGAAAGUGACGGUACCUGCAGAAAAAGCGCCGGCUAACUACGUG
RNAcentral lists this ribosomal RNA (468 nucleotides) under uncultured bacterium. Its description in RNAcentral is "partial 16S ribosomal RNA". It matches the Rfam family "Bacterial small subunit ribosomal RNA", at positions 28 to 507 of the family's 1533-position model. The record is from RNAcentral.